UACAGAGACUGCAAGCGUUAUUCGGAUUCACUGGGCGUAAAGGGUGCGCAGGCGGCCAAGUGUGUGAGGCGUGAAAGCCCGGGGCUUAACUCCGGAAUUGCACCUCAAACUACAUGGCUAGAGCAUUGGAGAGGGUAGCAGAAUUCACGGUGUAGCAGUGAAAUGCGUAGAGAUCGGGAGGAACACCUGUGGCGAAGGCGGCCGGCUGGGGGUGCCCUGACGCUGAGGCGCGAAAGCGUGGGGAGCGAACCGG
This 253-nucleotide ribosomal RNA is filed under the name uncultured bacterium. RNAcentral describes it as "partial 16S ribosomal RNA". It matches the Rfam family "Bacterial small subunit ribosomal RNA", at positions 524 to 776 of the family's 1533-position model. The record is from RNAcentral.